This 812-nucleotide ribosomal RNA is filed under the name uncultured bacterium. Its description in RNAcentral is "bacterial SSU rRNA". It matches the Rfam family "Bacterial small subunit ribosomal RNA", at positions 67 to 850 of the family's 1533-position model. The record is from RNAcentral.
UGGUAUUGAUUGGUGCUUGCAUCAUGAUUUACGUUUGCGUGAGUGGCGAACUGGUGAGUAACACGUGGGAAACCUGCCCAGAAGCGGGGGAUAACACCUGGAAACAGAUGCUAAUACCGCAUAACAACUUGGACCGCAUGGUCCGAGUUUGAAAGAUGGCUUCGGCUAUCACUUUUGGAUGGUCCCGCGGCGUAUUAGCUAGAUGGUGGGGUAACGGCUCACCAUGGCAAUGAUACGUAGCCGACCUGAGAGGGUAAUCGGCCACAUUGGGACUGAGACACGGCCCAAACUCCUACGGGAGGCAGCAGUAGGGAAUCUUCCACAAUGGACGAAAGUCUGAUGGAGCAACGCCGCGUGAGUGAAGAAGGGUUUCGGCUCGUAAAACUCUGUUGUUAAAGAAGAACAUAUCUGAGAGUAACUGUUCAGGUAUUGACGGUAUUUAACCAGAAAGCCACGGCUAACUACGUGCCAGCAGCCGCGGUAAUACGUAGGUGGCAAGCGUUGUCCGGAUUUAUUGGGCGUAAAGCGAGCGCAGGCGGUUUUUUAAGUCUGAUGUGAAAGCCUUCGGCUCAACCGAAGAAGUGCAUCGGAAACUGGGAAACUUGAGUGCAGAAGAGGACAGUGGAACUCCAUGUGUAGCGGUGAAAUGCGUAGAUAUAUGGAAGAACACCAGUGGCGAAGGCGGCUGUCUGGUCUGUAACUGACGCUGAGGCUCGAAAGUAUGGGUAGCAAACAGGAUUAGAUACCCUGGUAGUCCAUACCGUAAACGAUGAAUGCUAAGUGUUGGAGGGUUUCCGCCCUUCAGUGCUGCA